Phasianus colchicus (ring-necked pheasant) is the source of this 2635-nucleotide non-coding RNA. The record is from RefSeq and is a predicted model, not a curated record. Lineage: Eukaryota; Metazoa; Chordata; Aves; Galliformes; Phasianidae.
ACUACAGACCCUGCCAAAGUGUCUGUCCCCUUCUUUCCUGUAGCUCCACUUUAGAUACUGAAAGGCUGCUAUCAGGUCACCUCAGAGCCUUCUCGUCUCCAGGCUGAACAGCCCCAGCUCUCAGCCUGUCCUCAUAUAAGAGGUUUUCCAUUCUGUGAAUCAUUUCUGUGGCCCUCCUCUGUUUGCUCUCCAGCAGGUCCAUGCCUCUCCUGUACUGAGGACUCCACAUCUGGAUGACGUACUCCAGGUAAGGCCUCACAGAGUAGAGGGGCAGGAUCACCUUCCUCAAUCUGGUGGACAUGCUUUUGAUACAGUCCAGGGUAUGGUAUGCUUUCUGGGAUGCAAGAGCAUAUUGCUGGUUCAUGUCCAGCUUCCCACCUACCAGUACCCUCAGGUCUUUUUUUGGCAGGUCUGCGCUCAAUCCUUUCAUCUUGCAGUUUGUAUUGGUAAUGGGGGUUGCCUUGAAAAGGGGGCAAGACCCUGCAUGUGGAUUUGUUGAACCACAUGAGGUUCACCUGAGCCCACUGCUCAAGCCAGAUCCCUUUGCUGAGUUUCAGAUGCACUGGAGACUGGUGACUCUUUAUAGGACUGUUCAUUGAUUCUGCAAAUCUGUGCUCCCGUAUAGCAACUUGCGUUUAGUUACUGCUCUGAAUGGUUUGACCUCUUGCUGUGAAAAGACACUUUUGAGCAAUUCCCAAUCCAGUAAGAAAGUAUCUGUCUAGCAGUUUCCAAUCCAUAUGAGCAUGUAUAUUCCCACUCCAAACGAGAUCAUAUACUUUCUUUUCUCCCACUCUGCCUGAUAGCGUAGAGAACUAUUUUUGAAGAUGAAGAGAAAGUGGAAAAGAGAGAGCAUUUACUAAAGUUAGCAACUCUUUCCUCUAGAGAAAUAUAGAUUGUGCAAAAAGAAUGGAAUGAAACUGUUGUUAAUGGCCAUUGUUCUUCCUGUUUUGAACAUGAGAUCAGAGUAUGUCUUCUCCGUAAAGGUUGGUCUUUGGGCCUUUUAUAAUCUUUAAAGCUUAAAGCUUUGAUUUCAAAUAUAUUUGUGUUUGAUUAUCAUUUAAUAUUGGAGAUGGUAAGAUAUAUUUUAGGAGAGCUUUUCCUUUCCAGUUCUAAAUACUCUAAUCUUUGUACUUUGAAUCUUCAACAAUCUUACAAUUUUUCAUGAAGUUCUGUUGUAUAGGAACUGGUGAAUCAUAGCCUGAACCUUUGAUUGAUCACCUCCACCUGAGGUGAGAAAUGAGUCAGCUCUGGGAGCACAGAUGAAAGCAAUUCACUUGUGCUACCGGAAGGGGUGGAGCCUUGUUCUACCUCUCCUAGUCCCCAUUUAAGAGCUGACUACCAUUGGGGAAGGAUCUCUUUUGGUGACUGCUCUUCUUGGAGUCUUCUCAGAAAGUCCAGGAUGAAGGUACCUGAAAGCACAUAACAAUGGAUUUUGAAAAUAUCUCUGUGAAGUCUUCUCCUGUUUAGGAAGAGAUGAAAAUUGGUUGUUGAAGAGAGAAAAGACUACCUUUGUAAGCAGAUGUGCAAGGCUACAGAUGAGAGCUUUGAGGCAGAAGGACUUCAGGCAAUCUGGCUGCAAAAGGAGUAACUCUUGAGAGAAGGCAGGAGGAUGUCUUCACAUUCCCACUCAGAAGAGAGGCCAUUUAGAAGCUUACUGCAAGUAGAUCUUGUUUGCUACCUGCGCCAUGUGUCUAUGCAGAAGGAAGCCUAUAUGCAGUCUCAAGGCUAUUAAAUGAGAAGUUCUAUGAACUCCUCACAUAUGUGAGUGAAGUACAAUUCUUGGUGGAUGUGGUCUGUUUGAAAAACUCAAACAAUAACAAGAGGAAGCUAUGCUCUAUAGAAGUGCACAACUGGAAACACAUCUGUCAAGAGUCCCUGGACCAAAGUUGGAGGGGAGUAGUUUCAGCUGUAUAACUGUAACCUGCUGCAAACUGCCUGAAGUGGCUUCUGAUCAAAAAAGUAGCAAAGAAGUCCUGACCAUGUGCCCUGCUUAUCACGUGAGUUGACACCUAUCCAGGCAUCUGCUGAGAGCAUAGCAUGGCUUUGUGCAACCGACAAGCAGGUUUCUAAAUUUUAUUGGUGACUUCUUACUAAAUAAGAUAGUAGAACGGCUUGAUCUGUUUGUCUAAUGCUCACAAAUGGGGAAUAAUGGCAAAUGUGUUAUGGGUGGCAGAUUGGAUGAUUAUUUUUAGUAGCACCCAGAAAAUAGUGGAGUCCAGGAUUCAGAUGAUCCUGGGGAGAGGAAUAGCAGUACUCCAAGCCAUGGUAUAUUGGACUCUGGUCUAUUCAGGAAACUGCUGGGCAGAAUCUCUUGGGUCAGCUUUCCCUUAAGAAGUACCCUGUUUUGUUUGUUAUUAGGAGGCUAGUAAAAAUAAUAAUAAUAAUCAUAAUCAUUCUAUUGCAUACAAGCACUGGGAAUUUUGCCUAAGAUGAAAACUUCUGAAUUCAGAAGAGAAGUGGGAAGCCAUAAGAUGCAGAAACCAGGACUGGCAAAGAGUGUAUGUAUGUAUUGCUCAUAUCAUUUGGGAUAAGAUCAAGAAGGCUAGUUAAUCUCACCUCAGUUUUUCAAAAGACCAUAAAUAAGAUUUUUACAGAAUUACGUAUCUGUGAAAGAUAAGAAAACUGUUGCUGUAGA